UGGGGAAUCUUGCACAGUGGGCGAAAGCCUGAUGCAGCAACACCGUGUGAGCGAGGAAGGCCUUCGGGUCGUAAAGCUCUGUUGUUGGGGACGAAGGGCGAAGGGUUAAUAGCCCCUAGCCUGACGGUACCCUUCGAGGAAGCCCCGGCUAACUACGUGCCAGCAGCCGCGGUAAUACGUAGGGGGCGAGCGUUGUCCGGAAUUAUUGGGCGUAAAGAGCGUGUAGGCGGCCCGGUAAGUCUGCUGUGAAAGCUUGGGGCCCAACCCCAAGCGUGGAGUGGAUACUGCUAGGCUAGAGGAUGGUAGAGGCGAGUGGAAUUCCCGGUGUAGCGGUGAAAUGCGCAGAUAUCGGGAGGAACACCAGUAGCGAAGGCGGCUCGCUGGGCCAUUCCUGACGCUGAGACGCGAAAGCAUGGGGAGCAAACAGGAUUAGAUACCCGCGUAGUCC
RNAcentral lists this ribosomal RNA (448 nucleotides) under uncultured prokaryote. Its description in RNAcentral is "bacterial SSU rRNA". It matches the Rfam family "Bacterial small subunit ribosomal RNA", at positions 355 to 796 of the family's 1533-position model. The record is from RNAcentral.